RNAcentral lists this ribosomal RNA (499 nucleotides) under uncultured bacterium. RNAcentral's name for it is "bacterial SSU rRNA". It matches the Rfam family "Bacterial small subunit ribosomal RNA", at positions 791 to 1296 of the family's 1533-position model. The record is from RNAcentral.
UAGUCCACGCUGUAAACGAUGAUCACUAAGUGUUCGGCCUUCGGGUUGAGUGCUCAAGCGAAAGCGAUAAGUGAUCCACCUGGGGAGUACGUCGGCAACGAUGAAACUCAAAGGAAUUGACGGGGGCCCGCACAAGCGGUGGAGCAUGUGGUUUAAUUCGAUGAUACGCGAGGAACCUUACCAGGGCUUAAAUGUAGAUUGCAUUAGGUGGAGACACUUAUUUCUUCGGACUAUCUACAAGGUGCUGCAUGGUUGUCGUCAGCUCGUGCCGUGAGGUGUCAGGUUAAGUCCUAUAACGAGCGCAACCCCUGUUGUUAGUUGCCAGCGAGUCAAGUCGGGAACUCUAACAAGACUGCCAGUGCAAACUGUGAGGAAGGUGGGGAUGACGUCAAAUCAUCACGGCCCUUACGUCCUGGGCUACACACGUGCUACAAUGGUAGGGACAGAGAGCAGCCACUUCGCGAGAAGGAGCGAAUCUAUAAACCCUAUCACAGUUCGG